RNAcentral lists this ribosomal RNA (461 nucleotides) under uncultured Corynebacterium sp. RNAcentral's name for it is "bacterial SSU rRNA". It matches the Rfam family "Bacterial small subunit ribosomal RNA", at positions 338 to 795 of the family's 1533-position model. Lineage: Bacteria; Bacillati; Actinomycetota; Actinomycetes; Mycobacteriales; Corynebacteriaceae. The record is from RNAcentral.
CCUACGGGAGGCUGCAGUGGGGAAUAUUGCACAAUGGGCGCAAGCCUGAUGCAGCGACGCCGCGUGGGGGAUGACGGCCUUCGGGUUGUAAACUCCUUUCGCUUAUGACGAAGCUACUGCUUUUUUGGUGGUGGUGACGGUAGUUUGAGAAGAAGCACCGGCUAACUACGUGCCAGCAGCCGCGGUAAUACGUAGGGUGCGAGCGUUGUCCGGAAUUACUGGGCGUAAAGAGCUCGUAGGUGGUUUGUUGCGUCGUCUGUGAAAUUCCGGGGCUUAACUUCGGUCUGGCAGGCGAUACGGGCAUAACUGGAGUGCUGUAGGGGAGACUGGAAUUCCUGGUGUAGCGGUGGAAUGCGCAGAUAUCAGGAGGAACACCGAUGGCGAAGGCAGGUCUCUGGGCAGUAACUGACGCUGAGGAGCGAAAGCAUGGGGAGCGAACAGGAUUAGAUACCCUAGUAGUC